AGCUCCAAUAGCGUAUAUUAAUUUUGUUGCAGUUAAAAAGCUCGUAGUUGAAUUUGUGGCAGUCUUGAGCGUCCCGACACAUUGUGUUGUGGUUUGCUUUAGUCGCCAUCCUUGGGUGGAUGCUGUGUGGCAUUAGGUUGUCGUGCAGUGGAUGCCCAUCGUUUACUGUGAAAAAAUUAGAGUGUUCAAAGCAGGCUUAUGCCGUUGAAUAUAUUAGCAUGGAAUAAUAAGAUAGGACCUUGGUACUAUUUUGUUGGUUUGCGCACCGAGGUAAUGAUUAAUAGGGACAGUUGGGGGUAUUCGUAUUCCAUUGUCAGAGGUGAAAUUCUUGGAUUUUUGGAAGACGAACUACUGCGAAAGCAUUUACCAAGGAUGUUUUCAUUAAUCAAGAACGAAAGUA
RNAcentral lists this ribosomal RNA (400 nucleotides) under phytoplankton environmental sample. RNAcentral's name for it is "partial small subunit ribosomal RNA". It matches the Rfam family "Eukaryotic small subunit ribosomal RNA", at positions 587 to 991 of the family's 1831-position model. The record is from RNAcentral.